RNAcentral lists this small nuclear RNA (18 nucleotides) under Arabidopsis thaliana (thale cress). Its description in RNAcentral is "snRNA_14019". Lineage: Eukaryota; Viridiplantae; Streptophyta; Magnoliopsida; Brassicales; Brassicaceae. The record is from RNAcentral.
AAUUGCGUUUUAUAUUAC